UACGGGGGGAGCAAGCGUUGUUCGGAUUUACUGGGCGUAAAGGGCGCGUAGGCGGCCAGCACAAGUCAGUUGUGAAAUCUCCGAGCUUAACUCGGAAAGGUCAACUGAUACUGUGCGGCUAGAGUGCGGAAGGGGCAACUGGAAUUCUUGGUGUAGCGGUGAAAUGCGUAGUUAUCAAGAGGAACACCUGCGGCGAAGGCGGGUUGCUGGGCCGACACUGACGCUGAUGCGCGAAAGCUAGGGGAGCAAACGGG
This 254-nucleotide ribosomal RNA is filed under the name uncultured bacterium. Its description in RNAcentral is "partial 16S ribosomal RNA". It matches the Rfam family "Bacterial small subunit ribosomal RNA", at positions 524 to 776 of the family's 1533-position model. The record is from RNAcentral.